This 69-nucleotide transfer RNA is filed under the name Boana microderma (smallskin treefrog). RNAcentral's name for it is "Hypsiboas microderma (smallskin treefrog) tRNA-Val". It matches the Rfam family "tRNA". Rfam says of the family: Transfer RNA (tRNA) molecules are approximately 80 nucleotides in length. Their secondary structure includes four short double-helical elements and three loops (D, anti-codon, and T loops). The record is from RNAcentral. Lineage: Eukaryota; Metazoa; Chordata; Amphibia; Anura; Hylidae.
CAAAAUAUAGCUUAAAAAAGCAUCUUGCUUACACCAAGAAGAUGCCCGUGAAACUCUGGCUAUUUUGAG